ACUCAAAUGAAUAGACGGGGGCCCGCACAAGCGGCGGAGCAUGUUGCUUAAUUCGACGCAACGCGAAGAACCUUACCAAGGUUUGACAUGCAGGGAAAAGCCGUAGAGAUACGGUGUCCGUAAGGGUCCUGCACAGGUGGUGCAUGGCUGUCGUCAGCUCGUGUCGUGAGAUGUUGGGUUAAGUCCCGCAACGAGCGCAACCCUCGUCCUAUGUUGCCAGCGGAUAAUGCCGGGGACUCAUAGGAGACUGCCGGGGUCAACUCGGAGGAAGGUGGGGAUGACGUCAAGUCCUCAUGCCCCUUAUGUCUUGGGCUGCAAACAUGCUACAAUGGCCAGUACAAAGGGUUGCGAGACCGCAAGGUGGAGCGAAUCCCAAAAAGCUGGUCUCAGUUCGGAUUGGGGUCUGCAACUCGACCCCAUGAAGUCGGAGUCGCUAGUAAUCGCGAAUCAGCAACGUCGCGGUGAAUACGUUCCCGGGCCUUGUACACACCGCCCGU
RNAcentral lists this ribosomal RNA (497 nucleotides) under uncultured bacterium. RNAcentral describes it as "partial 16S ribosomal RNA". It matches the Rfam family "Bacterial small subunit ribosomal RNA", at positions 899 to 1397 of the family's 1533-position model. The record is from RNAcentral.